UGAGCAGGAAAGCAGGGGAUCGCAAGACCUUGCGCUGAUUGAGCGGCCGAUAUCAGAUUAGCUAGUUGGUGAGGUAAAGGCUCACCAAGGCGACGAUCUGUAGCGGGUCUGAGAGGAUGAUCCGCCACACUGGAACUGAGACACGGUCCAGACUCCUACGGGAGGCAGCAGUGGGGAAUUUUGGACAAUGGGGGCAACCCUGAUCCAGCCAUGCUGCGUGAGUGAAGAAGGCCUUCGGGUUGUAAAGCUCUUUCGGCCGGGAAGAAAUCGUAUGGGUUAAUACCCUGUGCGGAUGACGGUACCGGCAUAAGAAGCACCGGCUAACUACGUGUCAGCAGCCGCGGUAAUACGUAGGGUGCGAGCGUUAAUCGGAAUUACUGGGCGUAAAGCGUGCGCAGGCGGUUUUGUAAGACAGGCGUGAAAUCCCCGGGCUCAACCUGGGAACUGCGCUUGUGACUGCAAGGCUAGAGUAUGGCAGAGGGGGGUGGAAUUCCACGUGUAGCAGUGAAAUGCGUAGAGAUGUGGAGGAACACCAAUGGCGAAGGCAGCCCCCUGGGCCAAUACUGACGCUCAUGCACGAAAGCGUGGGUAGCAAACAGGAUUAGAUACCCUGGUAGUCCACGCCCUAAACGACGUCAACUAGGUGUUGGGUGGGUAAAACCAUUUAGUACCGGAGCUAACGCGUGAAGUUGACCGCCUGGGGAGUACGGCCGCAAGGUUAAAACUCAAAGGAAUUGACGGGGACCCGCACAAGCGGUGGAUGAUGUGGAUUAAUUCGAUGCAACGCGAAAAACCUUACCUACCCUUGACAUGUCCAGGAGCCUGAAGAGAUUUGGGUGUGCCCGAAAGGGAACUGGAACACAGGUGCUACAUGGCUGUCGUCAGCUCGUGUCGUGAGAUGUUGGGUUAAGUCCCGCAACGAGCGCAACCCUUGUCGUUAAUUGCCAUCAUUUAGUUGGGCACUUUAACGAGACUGCCGGUGACAAACCGGAGGAAGGUGGGGAUGACGUCAAGUCCUCAUGGCCCUUAUGGGUAGGGCUUCACACGUCAUACAAUGGUCGGUACAAAGGGUUGCCAACCCGCGAGGGGGAGCCAAUCCCAGAAAGCCGAUCGUAGUCCGGAUCGCAGGCUGCAACUCGCCUGCGUGAAGUCGGAAUCGCUAGUAAUCGUGGAUCAGCAUGUCACGGUGAAUACGUUCCCGGGUCUUGUACACACCGCCCGUCACACCAUGGGAGCGGGUUCCGCCAGAAGUAGGUAGCCUAACCGC
Molecule: ribosomal RNA, 1267 nt
Filed under: metagenome
Description: bacterial SSU rRNA
Rfam family: Bacterial small subunit ribosomal RNA
Source: RNAcentral